GAUGAACGCUGGCGGCGUGCCUAAUACAUGCAAGUCGAGCGCACGGACGAGAAGCUUGCUUCUCUGAUGUUAGCGGCGGACGGGUGAGUAACACGUGGAUAACCUACCUAUAAGACUGGGAUAACUUCGGGAAACGGUAGCUAAUACCGGAUAAUAUUUUGAACCACAUGGUUCAAGAGUGAAAGACGGUCUUGCUUUACUCUAUGGAUGGAUCGCCGCUGCAUUAGUUAGUUGGGAAGGUAACGGCUUACCAAGGCAACGUUCCAAAGCCGACCGGAGAGGGGGAUCGGCCACACUGGAACUGAGACACGGUCCAGACUCCUACGGGAGGCAGCAGUAGGGAAUCUUGCGCAAUGGGCGAAAGCCUGACGGAGCAACGCCGCGUGAGUGAUGAAGGUCUUCGGAUCGUAAAACUCUGUUAUUAGGGAAGAACAUAUGUGUAAGUAACUGUGCACAUCUUGACGGUACCUAAUCAGAAAGCCACGGCUAACUACGUG
RNAcentral lists this ribosomal RNA (497 nucleotides) under uncultured bacterium. Its description in RNAcentral is "partial 16S ribosomal RNA". It matches the Rfam family "Bacterial small subunit ribosomal RNA", at positions 28 to 507 of the family's 1533-position model. The record is from RNAcentral.